Molecule: ribosomal RNA, 419 nt
Filed under: uncultured bacterium
Lineage: Bacteria
Description: bacterial SSU rRNA
Rfam family: Bacterial small subunit ribosomal RNA
Source: RNAcentral
GGGCCCGCACAAGCGGUGGAGUAUGUGGUUUAAUUCGAUGCAACGCGAAGAACCUUACCAGGGUUUGACAUCCUGCGAAUCUCUUGGAAACGAGAGAGUGCCUUCGGGAACGCAGUGACAGGUGGUGCAUGGCUGUCGUCAGCUCGUGUCGUGAGAUGUUGGGUUAAGUCCCGCAACGAGCGCAACCCUUGUUUUUAGUUGCUUUUAUAGAACUCUAGAAAGACUGCCGGUUAUAAACCGGAGGAAGGCGGGGAUGACGUCAAGUCAGCAUGCCCCUUACACCCUGGGCUACACACGUGCUACAAUGGUUGGUACAGAGGGCAGCUACCCCGCGAGGGGAUGCGAAUCUCUAAAGCCAAUCUCAGUUCGGAUUGGAGUCUGCAACUCGACAACAUGAAGUCGGAAUCGCUAGUAAUCGC